RNAcentral lists this ribosomal RNA (224 nucleotides) under uncultured Gemmataceae bacterium. Its description in RNAcentral is "partial 16S ribosomal RNA". It matches the Rfam family "Bacterial small subunit ribosomal RNA", at positions 355 to 587 of the family's 1533-position model. Lineage: Bacteria; Pseudomonadati; Planctomycetota; Planctomycetia; Gemmatales; Gemmataceae. The record is from RNAcentral.
CCGAGAAUCUUCCGCAAUGGGCGAAAGCCUGACGGAGCGACGCCGCGUGGGGGAUGAAGGCCUUCGGGUUGUAAACCCCUGUCAGGUGAAGGGAAAGCCGUAAGGCUUGACCCGACGCCAGAGGAAGCACGGGCUAAGUUCGUGCCAGCAGCCGCGGUAAGACGAACCGUGCGAACGUUGCUCGGAAUCACUGGGCUUAAAGGGUGCGUAGGCGGUCGGCCAAG